UACGAAGGGGGCUAGCGUUGUUCGGAAUUAUUGGGCGUAAAGGGCGCGUAGGCGGUGCGGUAAGUCUUUUGUGAAAUCUCCGGGCUCAACUCGGAGUCUGCAGGAGAAACUGCCGUGCUGGAGUAUGGGAGAGGUGAGUGGAAUUCCCAGUGUAGCGGUGAAAUGCGUAGAUAUUGGGAGGAACACCAGUGGCGAAGGCGGCUCGCUGGACCGGUUCUGACGCUGAGGCGCGAAAGCGUGGGGAGCAAACGGG
This 253-nucleotide ribosomal RNA is filed under the name uncultured bacterium. Its description in RNAcentral is "partial 16S ribosomal RNA". It matches the Rfam family "Bacterial small subunit ribosomal RNA", at positions 524 to 776 of the family's 1533-position model. The record is from RNAcentral.